RNAcentral lists this ribosomal RNA (429 nucleotides) under bacterium. RNAcentral describes it as "partial 16S ribosomal RNA". It matches the Rfam family "Bacterial small subunit ribosomal RNA", at positions 355 to 776 of the family's 1533-position model. The record is from RNAcentral.
UAGGGAAUCUUCGGCAAUGGGGGCAACCCUGACCGAGCAACGCCGCGUGAGUGAAGAAGGUUUUCGGAUCGUAAAGCUCUGUUGUAAGAGAAGAACGUGUGUGAGAGUGGAAAGUUCACACAGUGACGGUAACUUACCAGAAAGGGACGGCUAACUACGUGCCAGCAGCCGCGGUAAUACGUAGGUCCCGAGCGUUGUCCGGAUAUAUUGGGCGUAAAGCGAGCGCAGGCGGUUUAAUAAGUCUGAAGUUAAAGGCAGUGGCUUAACAAUUGUUCGCUGUGGAAACUGUUAAGCUGGAGUGGAGAAGGGGAGGGUGGAAGUCCAUGUGUAGCGGUGAAAUGAGUAGAUAUAUGGAGGAGCACCGGUGGCGAAGGCGGCUGUCUGGUCUGUAACUGACGCUGAGGCUGGAAAGCGUGGGGAGCAGACAGG